AAUUCAUGUUGUGGGUAUGGGCAAAGUAAACUUUUAUAUCGUUCCCAAGUCUUUGAAUAGCAUUCUGAGACCAUUUGUUGAAAAGUAGUGAUCUCGUCCCUUAACUU
This 107-nucleotide small nucleolar RNA is filed under the name Olea europaea subsp. europaea. Its description in RNAcentral is "Plant small nucleolar RNA R71". It matches the Rfam family "Plant small nucleolar RNA R71". Rfam says of the family: R71 is a member of the C/D box family of snoRNAs containing the C (UGAUGA) and D (CUGA) box motifs. Multiple nearly identical copies of this snoRNA have been identified in Arabidopsis, and it is thought to function as a 2'-O-ribose methylation guide for 18S ribosomal RNA. Lineage: Eukaryota; Viridiplantae; Streptophyta; Magnoliopsida; Lamiales; Oleaceae. The record is from Rfam by way of RNAcentral.